Rosa rugosa (rugosa rose) is the source of this 508-nucleotide long non-coding RNA. RefSeq lists it as uncharacterized. The transcript has 2 exons. Lineage: Eukaryota; Viridiplantae; Streptophyta; Magnoliopsida; Rosales; Rosaceae. The record is from RefSeq and is a predicted model, not a curated record.
UGGCAGAAGCCACUGCUUCUUUUGGUCGAAAAGCCGAAGCCAGCAACCCCAUGCUUUUAGAAGCAGGCACUGGCUUUUCCACUGUAGCGGGAGUUACUGUAGUUUAAUGAACAUUUCGAAAUACCGGGUUGUGUCCUCUCUUCCUUUCAGCAAUUACACCACACUGCCAUCAAACCCUUGCUCUUGCAUCUCGCUGACUGCCUCCUCUCAUUCCUGUUCGAAGCCUCAAUCCAAUCCCCAGAUUUUCGUACCAGGCUCUGAAAAUCGAAAGCUCUGCAGAUAGGUGACCUUGGAGUUCUUGGAACUGGAAUACCAAUAGGAAAACUUGAUAUGUAUGUUGCUGCAGCUGGUAUUAAUUCAGAGUCAUUGGGAGAUCAAGCGGAAUACCAAGCAACGCAGCAAGUUAUAUUAUCUUUCAUCAUGUAAAACUUAGCUAGGAAACUUGAAAAUUGAAAUGUAUGAAUGCAAUAACAAUGUUCCUUAAAUCAAAUAAAUUGAUGUUUCACAA